Molecule: long non-coding RNA, 365 nt
Organism: Homo sapiens (human)
Lineage: Eukaryota; Metazoa; Chordata; Mammalia; Primates; Hominidae
Source: Ensembl
AACAAAAUACUUUCCUCAUCCAACUCACUGAUUAAACCCUUACCCUGUUAACUCACCCUAUGACUGUGUAAACCUCCAGUAAGAUUAUUGAAGGCACAGCUCCAAGUAACUUGCUUAAUUGCAUUCCUGGGACAAAAGAGGGAAGCGCUUCAAAGCUGACAGACAGAUGGUAGAGUGUCCAGUCACAGCAAAGCAGGCCCCGAGGCUCAUGACAGACAACUCCAGGGCUGAGAUCUCAUUUGUAGCUCUGGGAUAAAGUCCAGGGUUUGAUGGCAGCAGGCUGAAGUGUAAAGAUGCUCAACAAUGCGCACCCCAGAGACACUGAAUCUGAAAAAGCUUAGAGUGAAUAAAAAUCUGGAAAUGAA